Molecule: ribosomal RNA, 484 nt
Filed under: uncultured bacterium
Lineage: Bacteria
Description: partial 16S ribosomal RNA
Rfam family: Bacterial small subunit ribosomal RNA
Source: RNAcentral
AUUGAACGCUGGCGGCAGGCCUAACACAUGCAAGUCGAGCGGAAGAAGGGAGCUUGCUCCUGGAUUCAGCGGGGGACGGGUGAGUAAUGCCUAGGAAUCUGCCUGGUAGGGGGGGAGAACGACCGGAAACGGGCGCUAAUACCGCAGACGUCCUGAGGGAGAAAGUGGGGGAGCUUCGGACCGCACGCUAUCAGAUGAGCCUAGGUCGGAUUAGCUAGUUGGUGGGGUAAAGGCCUACUAAGGCGACGAUCCGUAACUGGUCUGUGAGGCUGGUCAGUCACCCUGGAGCUGGGCCACCGUCCAGACUCCUGAGAUACGCCGCAGUGGGGAAUGUUGGACAGUGGGCGAGAGCCUGAUCCAGCCGUGCCGCGUGUGUGACGAAGGUCUUCGGAUUGUAAAGACCUUUAAGUUGGGAGGAAGCGCAUUCAGUUAAUACCUUGCUGUUUUGACGUUACUAACAGAAUAAGCACCGGCUAACUUCGUG